ACCUGGCUGGCUCAGUAGGAAGAGCAUGUGACUCUUGAUCUUGGGGUUGUGGGUUCAAGCCCCAUGCUGGGUG
Mustela putorius furo (domestic ferret) is the source of this 73-nucleotide non-coding RNA. Lineage: Eukaryota; Metazoa; Chordata; Mammalia; Carnivora; Mustelidae. The record is from Rfam.